Molecule: long non-coding RNA, 720 nt
Organism: Ostrinia nubilalis (European corn borer)
Lineage: Eukaryota; Metazoa; Arthropoda; Insecta; Lepidoptera; Crambidae
Exons: 2
Source: RefSeq, a predicted model, not a curated record
GAUGUGUGAUUCUAUCAUCGUCACGUCAAUAGAACCAUUUUUGCAAAAGAUUUGACAGGCAGUGACACAUAGAGGCACAAAGCAGAAUUUCAAAUCACAGUUUUUUCUAAAAAUUUCGUAAAAUCCUGUAUAGUUUUGGAAUUUUUUUAUUGUAAUACAAUGGUGACCUGUUCCGUCCUUGAUUGUGAUGUAAACCAGAGAAAUAAUCCCGCAAAAUAUUCAUUUCACAGAUUUCCGACUAACGAAGAUGUAAGAAAAACAUGGCUCAAAUUAAUUAAUCGUCCAAAUUGGAUUCCAACUAAAUAUGCCACUUUAUGUAGCAAACAUUUUGAUAGUAAAUGUUUUCGAAAAAUUGGAGCCAGAAUCACGUUGAAAAAAUGUGCAAUCCCUACAGAGUUUGUUCCGGUAAGUUUAAUUAAAAUAAUACUAUUUCUGGCAAUAAAUAUUUUCAUUUUCAUUUUCUUCUGAUGAUGUUUCGUUGGUUAGUAAUGUCAAUUUAUUACCUUGAUCUGGUUGUUUUCAUUGUUUUGAUAAAAAAUGUUUAACUAUAAGUUAUAAUUAAACUAUGAUUUCUAUGAAAUUUUUACAUUAUUUUUUACAUUAUCGUCAGAAUUAUCAUUUUUAAUUAUUGACUUACUCUUACUAAUUAGAAAUCAGAAAGUUUGUAUGGAUGUCUUGAUGUUUGUUGCUCUUUCAAUUAAAUCAGUUAAAUCAUUUUAA